UAGGAAUUGAGAAGCACCCCUUGACAACAAAAAAAUGGCUUGUGACAGGCGUUGCAUGCGCAAUGAACGGUUUGCGGUUGAUUCCAGUACAGUAUAAAAUUAGUCCGCAUCAUUCCCUGACAUCUUCCUUCAAUAGAGGGCUGAAAUCUCAGUCUUGUCUCAUCGCUGUAACUCCCGUACGGCUCAACAGAGGCAAAGGUCGAGAGCCGUGCAUCCUCCAAAACACAGUUUCAUCAGCUGUCUGGGUGGCUGGUCUCAGAUGAUCCUGCAGGUGAAGAAGACCAAUGUGGAGGUCCUGGGCUGGUGUGGUUAAACAAGUUCCCUGCUAUCAUCAGAUUUGGACGGAGGAGCCUCUAUCUGAGCCAGGCUACUGUGGAAAGAGGAUUGUUGACCCUCCCUACCCACCCUGCUCAUUCCCUGAGGACCCACCGUGUUGCUGGUUGGGUGUCGCUCCCCGCUCUGCCUGGUGGUGGCCCUCGGGAGCUUUGAGCGCAUAGAGAGUGCAAUAGUGCAGCAGCCAUGACGAACGCAGUGAUGGGCGGUAGCUCGGACCGCUGGGUGCCCAACGAUAGGCAGAUGAGCAUGCAUGCCAA
Oncorhynchus tshawytscha (Chinook salmon) is the source of this 593-nucleotide long non-coding RNA. NCBI's taxonomy places the organism in Eukaryota, Metazoa, Chordata, Actinopteri, Salmoniformes, Salmonidae. The record is from Ensembl.